GGGAUGACGUCAAGUCCUCAUGGCCCUUAUAGGUAGGGCUACACACGUCAUACAAUGGAUGGUACAGAGGGUCGCCAACCCGCGAGGGGGAGCUAAUCCCAUAAAACCAUUCGUAGUCCGGAUCGCAGUCUGCAACUCGACUGCGUGAAGUCGGAAUCGCUAGUAAUCGCGGAUCAGAAUGUCGCGGUGAAUACGUUCCCGGGUCUUGUACACACCGCCCGUCACACCAUGGGAGCGGGUUCUGCCAGAAGUAGUUAGCCUAACCGCAAGGAGGGCGAUUACCACGGCAGGGUUCGUGACUGGGGUGAAGUCGUAACAAGGUAGCCGUAUCGGAAGGUGCGGCUGGAUCACCUCCUUU
Molecule: ribosomal RNA, 358 nt
Filed under: Hydrogenophaga sp.
Lineage: Bacteria; Pseudomonadati; Pseudomonadota; Betaproteobacteria; Burkholderiales; Comamonadaceae
Description: bacterial SSU rRNA
Rfam family: Bacterial small subunit ribosomal RNA
Source: RNAcentral